CCUACGGGAGGCAGCAGUGAGGAAUAUUGGACAAUGGGCGCAAGCCUGAUCCAGCCAUGCCGCGUGCAGGAUGACGGUCCUAUGGAUUGUAAACUGCUUUUGCACAGGAAGAAACAACGCUACGUGUAGCGUCUUGACGGUACUGUGAGAAUAAGGAUCGGCUAACUCCGUGCCAGCAGCCGCGGUAAUACGGAGGAUCCAAGCGUUAUCCGGAAUCAUUGGGUUUAAAGGGUCCGUAGGCGGUUUAGUAAGUCAGUGGUGAAAGCCCAUCGCUCAACGGUGGAACGGCCAUUGAUACUGCUAGACUUGAAUUAUUAGGAAGUAACUAGAAUAUGUAGUGUAGCGGUGAAAUGCUUAGAGAUUACAUGGAAUACCAAUUGCGAAGGCAGGUUACUACUAAUAUAUUGACGCUGAUGGACGAAAGCGUGGGUAGCGAACAGGAUUAGAUACCCUGGUAGUCCACGCCGUAAACGAUGGAUACUAGCUGUUGGGAGCAAUUUCAGUGGCUAAGCGAAAGUGAUAAGUAUCCCACCUGGGGAGUACGUUCGCAAGAAGAGAAGUACGAAGAAGUAGUACGACGUAGAGAGNGCGACGGACGACGACGAGGGAGGAGG
Molecule: ribosomal RNA, 614 nt
Filed under: uncultured bacterium
Lineage: Bacteria
Description: bacterial SSU rRNA
Rfam family: Bacterial small subunit ribosomal RNA
Source: RNAcentral